CUAAGAACAGAUGGGAAAUCAGCCUUAGCCGGUCUUUGGAAUGAAUGACUAACAAUUCAACCUAAUUAGAAUGAUAUGAAAGUUUUUUACAACUUCUGUGAAAACAGAGCAGGUUUCAGCACUGCCUUGGGGAAAAUUCAAAACAGGAAUAUAUUGUCAUCAAUGAUUCUCAGCUGACUGGUUUUGCCCUAUGAACUCUACCAUGUACCUACAGUUAUCCUUUGCAGCGCAUGAAGAUCCUCACGGACUGACAUAUGUAUCAAAAAAGAAGAAAGAAUGGCUUCCAUAUUCAAAAGUAAGCACAACAUUUAUGCAUACUUCAUAGCAAUACAAUAUGGAUUCUUUUUGGAUGAGUGUCACUGAUAAUUCUGGAAACAAAGCAUAUUUCCUCAUUCAGAGUAUUUGACGUGGAAUCCGAAUGGUUUCCUGGCA
This 432-nucleotide long non-coding RNA is filed under the name Phascolarctos cinereus (koala). RNAcentral describes it as "lncRNA (ENSPCIG00000020478.2)". The record is from RNAcentral. Lineage: Eukaryota; Metazoa; Chordata; Mammalia; Diprotodontia; Phascolarctidae.